This 262-nucleotide non-coding RNA is filed under the name Desulfosporosinus orientis. RNAcentral's name for it is "T-box sequence". It matches the Rfam family "T-box leader". From Rfam's summary of the family: Uncharged tRNA acts as the effector for transcription antitermination of genes in the T-box leader family. Lineage: Bacteria; Bacillati; Bacillota; Clostridia; Eubacteriales; Desulfitobacteriaceae. The record is from RNAcentral.
ACAAAAGCUAUGAUAGAGAAAAGUAAAUUGCUGGACUGCUAUUCAGGGAGGAAGAGUCAUCGACUGAAAGCUUUUCCAUAGUCAACGGCAAUUGAAGUUCACUCUGGAGCUGCUGAACUGAACAGCUUUGCUAAGUAGGCUCAGACGGUACUUCACCGUUAAAUGAAGAGGGUAUCGGAUUUUAUCCUGCACCUUGGAGAGAGAACUUCACUGAGUGAAGUUAAGUUGGGUGGUAACGCGAGAAUUACUUCUCGUCCCUAUG